AUGGCAUCGGAGCCGGUCGCGCUACCCGACGACGCGCUCGCGGAGGUCCUCCGGCGUCUCCCCCCGCACAUCCUGGCCGAGGCCCGGCGGGUCUGCAAGGCGUGGCGCAACGCCGUCGACGACCGCCUGCGCGGCAGCCUGCUUUCGCGCUCGGUGCGCGGCAUCUUCAUCAACUUCAAGGGGCAGUACUUCUCGGAGUUUUUCUCCCGCCCGUCGACGGGCCCGGCGAUCGACGGAGGGUUCGACUUCCUGCCAUGCAUGGGCGUCGAGGUGAAAGACCACUGCAACGGCCUUUUGCUUUGCCGCGAGUCGAGCUACCGUGCACUGCCGUGCCCGCGCGAGUACGUCGUCAACCCGGCCACCCGGCGGUGGGCUCGUUUGCCCAAACGCCCCCCGCCGCUCAUCCCAGGAUUCGACCACACCGCCCACCUCACGUUCGAGCCCACCGUGUUGCCGCACUAUCAGGUCUUUCUGAUCCCACGCGUGCCAUGGCGACUGCCAUCCGACGGAGAAUCCGGCGACGACGAUGACAACCCGUUGCUCGAAUUGGAGUGGCCUCCCGCGUCAUACCUCGUCGAUGUGUUCUCGUCGGUGACUCAGCAAUGGGACACGGCAACCUUCCUUCGGGAAGGGGAAGCUUCCGGGAUCGUCACCGACAUGCAGUUGGAAUGGUGGUAUGAUCCGUCUCUCUAUCAUGCCGUAUACUGGCAAAGCGCACUCUACAUCCAUUGCCAACAUGGCUAUCUUACGAGAAUGUCCUUGUCAGAUCACUCGUACAGAGUAAUUAAACUACCAGGUGCCGGUGGAUUGAUAGUAUAUUCCAACCACCGUCUCGGGAGAUCGUCGCAAGGGGUGUAUUGUGCAAUACUUGAUGGCAAACGACUUCAGGUUUGGUAUCUCAGUGAAUCGUGCGGUCGAAUAGAAUGGGUGUUAAAACAUGAUACCCGUCUUGAGACCGUCUAUGCUCAACAACUGGGCAGACAAUGGAUCUUACAACAGGUUAACCUCCGUAAGGAGUACCCUGAGCACAAAGCCUCGGAUGUGAAAUAUGACUAUGACUGGAACACUGAUGAGGAUAACGUUCUUGACACUGAAGACGUCGUUGACGAGGCUGUAGAUGUCAUUGAAAAUGAAGAGCACAUAUCUUAUGGUUUCCUUGGAUUUCAUCCUUAUAAAGAGGUUGUCUUCUUGAAUACAUCAACAAGAGGACUAGCCUAUGACUGGAUCAACUCAAAAUUUCAGGACUUGGGCAGUUCAUGGACAUGUUAGGAGUAUGGAACACCAUAUGAAGAGACAGGCGUAUCUUUCCCAUACACGCCUUGUUGGGUAAGCGCGUUUCCUGGAAACGAAUUAGAAUCUCUUCUUUUAGACGAGAAGCUAUAUAGGAACAAGCUAGAACUAGAAGCUCAACUUGAGGAGGAAUCCUACUUCACCUACAUGGGCGAGUAUGAGCUGCGCAAGCAGUCUGGGCGUGCCAAGAGGGUCAAGGACUCUGCCGCCAAGAUUCGUCGCAGACACCUCAUUGCUGCUCGGUAG
RNAcentral lists this ribosomal RNA (1536 nucleotides) under Triticum aestivum (bread wheat). RNAcentral's name for it is "partial small subunit ribosomal RNA". The record is from RNAcentral. Lineage: Eukaryota; Viridiplantae; Streptophyta; Magnoliopsida; Poales; Poaceae.